ACGCUCGACACCUACGGGAGGCAGCAGUAGGGAAUCUUCCACAAUGGGCGCAAGUCUGAUGGAGCAACGCCGCGUGAGUGAAGAAGGUUUUCGGAUCGUAAAGCUCUGUUGUUGGUGAAGAAGGAUAGAGGUAGUAACUGGCCUUUAUUUGACGGUAAUCAACCAGAAAGUCACGGCUAACUACGUGUCAGCAGCCGCGGUAAUCUGAGCGGGCUGGCAAGGC
Molecule: ribosomal RNA, 223 nt
Filed under: uncultured bacterium
Lineage: Bacteria
Description: partial 16S ribosomal RNA
Rfam family: Bacterial small subunit ribosomal RNA
Source: RNAcentral